This 253-nucleotide ribosomal RNA is filed under the name uncultured bacterium. RNAcentral describes it as "partial 16S ribosomal RNA". It matches the Rfam family "Bacterial small subunit ribosomal RNA", at positions 524 to 776 of the family's 1533-position model. The record is from RNAcentral.
UACGGGGGGGGCAAGCGUUGUUCGGAAUUACUGGGCGUAAAGGGCUCGUAGGCGGCCAACUAAGUCAGACGUGAAAUCCCCAGGCUCAACCUGGGAACUGCGUCUGAUACUGGAUGGUUUGAAUCCGGGAGAGGGAUGCAGAAUUCCAGGUGUAGCGGUGAAAUGCGUAGAUAUCUGGAGGAAUACCGGUGGCGAAGGCGGCAUCCUGGACCGGCAUUGACGCUGAGGCGCGAAAGCGUGGGGAGCAAACAGG